This 1459-nucleotide ribosomal RNA is filed under the name Acinetobacter sp. KL-9. RNAcentral's name for it is "bacterial SSU rRNA". It matches the Rfam family "Bacterial small subunit ribosomal RNA". Lineage: Bacteria; Pseudomonadati; Pseudomonadota; Gammaproteobacteria; Moraxellales; Moraxellaceae. The record is from RNAcentral.
AACGCUGGCGGCAGGCUUAACACAUGCAAGUCGAGCGGAGUGAUGGUGCUUGCACUAUCACUUAGCGGCGGACGGGUGAGUAAUGCUUAGGAAUCUGCCUAUUAGUGGGGGACAACAUUUCGAAAGGAAUGCUAAUACCGCAUACGUCCUACGGGAGAAAGCAGGGGAUCUUCGGACCUUGCGCUAAUAGAUGAGCCUAAGUCGGAUUAGCUAGUUGGUGGGGUAAAGGCCUACCAAGGCGACGAUCUGUAGCGGGUCUGAGAGGAUGAUCCGCCACACUGGGAAUGAGACACGGCCCAGACUCCUACGGAGGCAGCAGUGGGGAAUAUUGGACAAUGGGCGCAAGCCUGAUCCAGCCAUGCCGCGUGUGUGAAGAAGGCCUUAUGGUUGUAAAGCACUUUAAGCGAGGAGGAGGCUACUUUAGUUAAUACCUAGAGAUAGUGGACGUUACUCGCAGAAUAAGCACCGGCUAACUCUGUGCCAGCAGCCGCGGUAAUACAGAGGGUGCAAGCGUUAAUCGGAUUUACUGGGCGUAAAGCGCGCGUAGGCGGCUAAUUAAGUCAAAUGUGAAAUCCCCGAGCUUAACUUGGGAAUUGCAUUCGAUACUGGUUAGCUAGAGUGUGGGAGAGGAUGGUAGAAUUCCAGGUGUAGCGGUGAAAUGCGUAGAGAUCUGGAGGAAUACCGAUGGCGAAGGCAGCCAUCUGGCCUAACACUGACGCUGAGGUGCGAAAGCAUGGGGAGCAAACAGGAUUAGAUACCCUGGUAGUCCAUGCCGUAAACGAUGUCUACUAGCCGUUGGGGCCUUUGAGGCUUUAGUGGCGCAGCUAACGCGAUAAGUAGACCGCCUGGGGAGUACGGUCGCAAGACUAAAACUCAAAUGAAUUGACGGGGGCCCGCACAAGCGGUGGAGCAUGUGGUUUAAUUCGAUGCAACGCGAAGAACCUUACCUGGCCUUGACAUAGUAAGAACUUUCCAGAGAUGGAUUGGUGCCUUCGGGAACUUACAUACAGGUGCUGCAUGGCUGUCGUCAGCUCGUGUCGUGAGAUGUUGGGUUAAGUCCCGCAACGAGCGCAACCCUUUUCCUUAUUUGCCAGCGAGUAAUGUCGGGAACUUUAAGGAUACUGCCAGUGACAAACUGGAGGAAGGCGGGGACGACGUCAAGUCAUCAUGGCCCUUACGGCCAGGGCUACACACGCGCUACAAUGGUCGGUACAAAGGGUUGCUACCUAGCGAUAGGAUGCUAAUCUCAAAAAGCCGAUCGUAGUCCGGAUUGGAGUCUGCAACUCGACUCCAUGAAGUCGGAAUCGCUAGUAAUCGCGGAUCAGAAUGCCGCGGUGAAUACGUUCCCGGGCCUUGUACACACCGCCCGUCACACCAUGGGAGUUUGUUGCACCAGAAGUAGGUAGUCUAACCGCAAGGAGGACGCUUACCACGGUGUGGCCGAUGACUGGGGUGAAGU